UUCCGGUUGAUCCUGCCGGACCUUACUGCUAUCGGGAUGAGACUAAGCCAUGCAUGUCGAGCGCUCUUCAGCUAUGUAGAGAGCGCGGCGAACGGCUCAAUAACACGUAGUUAACCUACCCUCGGGAUGGGAAUAACCCUGGGAAACUGGGAUUAAUACCCACUAGAUGAUUAUACCUGGAAUGGCUUAUCAUCGAAAGAGUCUGGAAACAUGCUUCCAGCGUCGCCCGAGGAUGGGACCGCGUCCGAUCAGGUAGUUGGUGGGGUAAUGGCCUACCAAGCCUAUAACCGGUACGGGCCCUGAGAGGGGGAGCCCGGAGAUGGAAACUGGGAAAAGGUUCCAGGCCCUACGGGGUGCAGCAGGCGCGAAACCUCCACAAUGCGCGAAAGCGUGAUGGGGUUAUCCCGAGUGCCGUCCGAUGAGGAUGGCUUUUUAUUGAUGUAAGGAUUCGAUAGAAUAAAGGGGGGGCAAGACUGGUGUCAGCCGCCGCGGUAAUACCAGCCCCCUGAGUGGUAAGGACGAUUAUUUGGCCUAAAGCGUUCGUAGCCGGCUUAUCAAGUCUUUUGUUAAAUCCAACGAUUUAAUCGUUGGGCCGCAAAAGAUACUGUUAUGCUAGAGGACGGGAGAGGUCGACGGUAGUCCAGGGGUAGGGGUGAAAUCCUAUAAUCCUUGGAGGACCACCAGUGGCGAAGGCGGUCGACUAGAACGUGCCUGACGGUGAGGGACGAAAGCUGGGGGAGCGAACCGGAUUAGAUACCCGGGUAGUCCCAGCUGUAAACGAUGCGGGCUAGGUGUUGGGGCAGCCACGAGCUGCUCCAGUGCCGCAGAGAAGUUGUUAAGCCCGCCGCCUGGGGAGUACGGCCGCAAGGCUGAAACUUAAAGGAAUUGGCGGGGGAGCACCACAAGGGGUGAAGGCUGCGGUUUAAUUGGAUU
This 933-nucleotide ribosomal RNA is filed under the name uncultured archaeon. RNAcentral describes it as "bacterial SSU rRNA". It matches the Rfam family "Archaeal small subunit ribosomal RNA", at positions 1 to 912 of the family's 1478-position model. The record is from RNAcentral.